Molecule: long non-coding RNA, 559 nt
Organism: Pollicipes pollicipes
Lineage: Eukaryota; Metazoa; Arthropoda; Thecostraca; Pollicipedomorpha; Pollicipedidae
Exons: 2
Source: RefSeq, a predicted model, not a curated record
AUGAUGCCUGCCAAACAUCUAGGUUUUUCAGUCCGAUUAUUCUAGGUUUAUUUCGGUUUCCGUUUUCCUAAAAAGUUUCGGUUUGUCAUUAAGUUACAAAGGUCUGCCAAAUUGUUUUAACGCAGACGCCAUGAAGCUGCUAUCUGUUAUUUUCAUUUGCCUGACUAUCUUCAUGCUGCUCCCAGACGCACAUGGACGUCGUUUCCACUACGUUAAAACUCUUUCACGUGGUGAAGAUAGCGACAGUGAGGGAAGAAGGCCCCUCAACGAGAAAUCUGGUCAUGUCGUGAAGAAGAUUGGGCAGCUGCUGAACAAACAGAUUCAGAACGAAGUGCAGGAACAGGUGUUCGACAAAGUUCACGAGAACAUCAUAGAACCUGUAGGUGAAGUCUUGGAGUAGACGUAGCUUGCGUCGUGGGUUAUCGUUAAUAUGUCAUUUAGUUUACUUGUCACGAUUUCUACAGAAGUACACAUCGAAUUAUUGUGGCAACACAAGUACAGCGCCAAGUAAUGUUUACGUGAUACACCAAUACAAAGACACAGCACAUCCAUUGCAGAA